This 227-nucleotide unclassified non-coding RNA is filed under the name Hevea brasiliensis (rubber tree). Lineage: Eukaryota; Viridiplantae; Streptophyta; Magnoliopsida; Malpighiales; Euphorbiaceae. The record is from RNAcentral.
CAAAAAUGGAUAUUGAGCAGAAGCAAACCGAGUUCAUCGAUCAGUUUGUAAAACAAGCUUCCUCUCUGAAAGGCUCCGCACUUGCGUCUGUUGUUACUGAGGCCACUUCUCACCCUUCCCUCUUCGCCUUCUCGGAAGUUCUUGCCGUUCCCAACGUCAUCGAGUUAGAAGGAACUGAGCAUUCUGUAUAUCUUGACGUGCUUCGCUUAUUUGCAUAUGGAACAUGG